UCAGUCAGCGCAGCGUAAUAAUAGAAACUAACCAGGAUUCCCUUAGUAACGGCGAGUGAACUGGGAUGCCAAUAUAUAAUAUGUACCUCGCGUGCAUAAAUUAGCCCGUCGAUACUAUCCUAGCGUAUGUCACCGGUCUUCGGGUCGGUACUCAAAUACGCGGGAAUUGUAGCAUCGUAAUAAUUAAAAAUAUACAGCACACACACACACACACACAUAAGAACCCACGCCAACCUGCGUACACCACUUGUAAACACACAGCGUCUCCGCGUUGGAAAGCAAGUAUAUAUCCUCUUUGGAUAUGCCAUAGAGUGUGACAGCCACGUUUCACCCAUAUGAUAGUUACGCACACACACACACAUAUAUAUCAAUGGCGCGGCGUGCGAGUGCACAACGUAUAUAUACUAUAACCUGAGUCGAGUUAUUUGGGACUAUAGCUCUAAUAGUUUGGUUGGUGGUAAUGACACAUCAAAGGCUAAAUAUUGGUUAGUCGAUGCAUAUUGCGGAGACCGAUAGCAUACAAGUACCGUAAGGGAACGAUGAAAAGCACCCUAUUGAGUUCACGGCGCAGACUCGACAUUCGUGUCUUGCCCAGCGCCCAACAACUACAGUGGGAGUGAAAGAGAGAGU
RNAcentral lists this ribosomal RNA (630 nucleotides) under Ammonia sp. genotype T2. Its description in RNAcentral is "partial large subunit ribosomal RNA". It matches the Rfam family "Eukaryotic large subunit ribosomal RNA", at positions 43 to 400 of the family's 3401-position model. The record is from RNAcentral. Lineage: Eukaryota; Foraminifera; Rotaliida; Rotaliidae.